This 274-nucleotide ribosomal RNA is filed under the name uncultured bacterium. RNAcentral's name for it is "partial 16S ribosomal RNA". It matches the Rfam family "Bacterial small subunit ribosomal RNA", at positions 523 to 796 of the family's 1533-position model. The record is from RNAcentral.
AUACGGAGGGUGCAAGCGUUACUCGGAAUCACUGGGCGUAAAGCGCGCGCAGGCGGUCUUUUAAGUUGGAUGUGAAAGCCUACGGCUCAACCGUAGAACUGCAUCCAAAACUAUUAGACUAGAGUGUGGGAGAGGAAGAUGGAAUUAGUAGUGUAGGGGUAAAAUCCGUAGAGAUAACUAGGAAUACCAAAAGCGAAGGCAAUCUUCUGGAACACUACUGACGCUGAGGCGCGAAAGCGUGGGGAGCAAACAGGAUUAGAAACCCCAGUAGUCC